GGAUAACCCGGAGAAAUCCGGCCUAAUCCCGCAUGUGGCCGAGGGGAGGCAUCUUCUUUCGGCCAAAGGAGGCGACUCCGGAGACGGAUGGGCAUGCGUGACAUUAGCUUGUUGGCGGGGUAACGGCCCACCAAGGCGACGAUGUCUAGGGGUUCUGAGAGGAAGGUCCCCCACACUGGUACUGAGACACGGACCAGACUCCUACGGGAGGCAGCAGUGAGGAAUAUUGGUCAAUGGGCGAGAGCCUGAACCAGCCAAGUCGCGUGAAGGAUGACGGCCCUAUGGGUUGUAAACUUCUUUUGUCAGGGAGCAAUUGGGUCCACGCGUGGGCUUAGCGAGAGUACCUGAAGAAAAAGCAUCGGCUAACUCCGUGCCAGCAGCCGCGGUAAUACGGAGGAUGCGAGCGUUAUCCGGAUUUAUUGGGUUUAAAGGGUGCGUAGGUGGAAUAUCAAGUCAGCGGUAAAAAUUCGGGGCUCAACCCCGUCGUGCCGUUGAAACUGAUGUUCUUGAGUGGGCGAGAAGUAUGCGGAAUGCGUGGUGUAGCGGUGAAAUGCAUAGAUAUCACGCAGAACUCCGAUUGCGAAGGCAGCAUACCGGCGCCCAACUGACGCUGAAGCACGAAAGCGUGGGUAUCGAACAGGAUUAGAUACCCUGGUAGUCCACGCAGUAAACG
Molecule: ribosomal RNA, 673 nt
Filed under: uncultured bacterium
Lineage: Bacteria
Description: bacterial SSU rRNA
Rfam family: Bacterial small subunit ribosomal RNA
Source: RNAcentral